Molecule: ribosomal RNA, 385 nt
Filed under: uncultured eukaryote
Lineage: Eukaryota
Description: partial 18S ribosomal RNA
Rfam family: Eukaryotic small subunit ribosomal RNA
Source: RNAcentral
CAAUAGCGUAUAUUAAAGUUGUUGCAGUUAAAAAGCUCGUAGUUGGACUUCUGCGGGUGGCGGCCGGUCGUGCCCUUAUGUGGCGUGAACUUGGCUCUUUGCCGCCCGCAUCUUUGGGGAGAUUGUGCGUGGCAUUAGGUUGUCGUGCAUGGGAUUCUCAUCAUUUACUGUGAAAAAAUUAGAGUGUUUAAAGCAGGCCUUUGCCUUGAAUACAUUAGCAUGGAAUAAUAAGAUAGGACCGUUGUCUAUUUUGUUGGUUUACAGAUGUCGGUAAUGAUUAAUAGGGAUAGUUGGGGGUAUUCGUAUUCAGUUGUCAGAGGUGAAAUUCUUGGAUUUUCGGAAGACGCACGACUGCGAAAGCAUUUACCAAGGAUGUUUUCAUUAA